This 395-nucleotide ribosomal RNA is filed under the name uncultured bacterium. RNAcentral describes it as "partial 16S ribosomal RNA". It matches the Rfam family "Bacterial small subunit ribosomal RNA", at positions 523 to 918 of the family's 1533-position model. The record is from RNAcentral.
AUACGUAGGGUGCAAGCGUUAAUCGGAAUUACUGGGCGUAAAGCGUGCGCAGGCGGUUUUGUAAGACAGUGGUGAAAUCCCCGGGCUCAACCUGGGAACUGCCCUUGUGACUGCAAGGCUGGAGUGCGGCAGAGGGGGAUGGAAUUCCGCGUGUAGCAGUGAAAUGAGUAGAUAUGCGGAGGAACACCGAUGGCGAAGGCAAUCCCCUGGGCCUGUACUGACGCUCAUGCACGAAAGCGUGGGGAGCAAACAGGAUUAGAUACCCUGGUAGUCCACGCCCUAAACGAUGUCAACUGGUUGUUGGGUCUUCAUUGACUCAGUAACGAAGCUAACGCGUGAAGUUGACCGCCUGGGGAGUACGGCCGCAAGGUUGAAACUCAAAUGAAUUGACGGGG